RNAcentral lists this ribosomal RNA (762 nucleotides) under uncultured bacterium. RNAcentral describes it as "bacterial SSU rRNA". It matches the Rfam family "Bacterial small subunit ribosomal RNA", at positions 53 to 817 of the family's 1533-position model. The record is from RNAcentral.
ACCAUGCAGUCGAGGGGUAUGGGCUUUCGGGCCCGAGACCGGCGCACGGGUGCGUAACGCGUAUGCAAUCUACCUUUUACAGCGGGAUAGCCCAGAGAAAUUUGGAUUAAUACCACAUAGUAUUAUGAAAUGGCAUCAUUUUAUAAUUAAAGUCACAACGGUAAAAGAUGAGCAUGCGUCCCAUUAGCUAGUUGGUAAGGUAACGGCUUACCAAGGCGACGAUGGGUAGGGGUCCUGAGAGGGAGAUCCCCCACACUGGUACUGAGACACGGACCAGACUCCUACGGGAGGCAGCAGUGAGGAAUAUUGGACAAUGGGCGCAAGCCUGAUCCAGCCAUGCCGCGUGCAGGAUGACGGUCCUAUGGAUUGUAAACUGCUUUUAUACAGGAAGAAACCCUUGCUCGUGAGCAAGAUUGACGGUACUGUAAGAAUAAGGAUCGGCUAACUCCGUGCCAGCAGCCGCGGUAAUACGGAGGAUCCAAGCGUUAUCCGGAAUCAUUGGGUUUAAAGGGUCCGUAGGCGGUUUAAUAAGUCAGUGGUGAAAUCCCAUCGCUCAACGGUGGAACGGCCAUUGAUACUGCUAGACUUGAAUUAUUAGGAAGUAACUAGAAUAUGUAGUGUAGCGGUGAAAUGCUUAGAUAUUACAUGGAAUACCAAUUGCGAAGGCAGGUUACUACUAAUGGAUUGACGCUGAUGGACGAAAGCGUGGGUAGCGAACAGGAUUAGAUACCCUGGUAGUCCACGCCGUAAACGAUGGAUACU